Long non-coding RNA from Argentina anserina (silverweed cinquefoil), 773 nucleotides. RefSeq lists it as uncharacterized. The transcript is spliced from 2 exons. NCBI's taxonomy places the organism in Eukaryota, Viridiplantae, Streptophyta, Magnoliopsida, Rosales, Rosaceae. The record is from RefSeq and is a predicted model, not a curated record.
GCGAAGUGUUCCUCAGAUCUCUCAGAUCUAGGGUUAAAGCUUGACAUAUCUUCUCGGAUCUGAAGAGAUGCGCAGAAGAAGAGAUGCAGCGGAACUCUUCACUGAAAUGAUUAGCCGAGAUGUUGCCGGGUGGAAAGAAGCUUACAAUUGUUUAAUUCAGUGAGCAGUUUAGGACAGUGGAAAGAAGCUACAAGGUUGUUAGAUGAAAUACAAAGUAGAAAGGUUCUUCCGAGACGUUAAUCACUUUCAAUGUCUUGGUUGGUGCACUUUGUAAAAAGAGGAUGGUCGUGGAAGCUAAAAGGUGUUGCAAGGAGACAAGGACAAAGGGUAAAAAUCCUGUGAUCUAAUGGUUAAUAAAGGCUCCACGUUUGAUGUUCAGAAUUGUAAGUAUAUUGAGAGAUGAUAUUGCAUGGGUAGAGACGUUGAUAAUGCUCAGAAGAUAUUCAAGGAAAUGCAUUGUGUGGAAAUAGUUGCAAAUAUGUUUAUUCUUAAUAAUCUUGUUAGCCUUAUCCUUGCUUUUUGCAAUGCCGGGGGACUUCAAGAAGCAGAAAAGUUUUUCUCUGAAAUGCUAGGCUGUGGUCAAGCAGAAAUCUGCAUACUGUUGUGAUCAAAAGUCAGUACAUAGCCGGUAGAUGUCUUUUCCUUAUCAACAAGAGGAGUUCAGUCUAGUGUGAGUACAUACGAAAGCUCCUUGGACUUUGUAAUUGUAACUUUAUGUAUUGAAGCAGAAAUGUUUUGUUACUGUCAAUUCAUAAUAAAGUUGAUUUGAACAU